Acanthochromis polyacanthus (spiny chromis) is the source of this 1561-nucleotide long non-coding RNA. RefSeq lists it as uncharacterized. The transcript has 3 exons. Lineage: Eukaryota; Metazoa; Chordata; Actinopteri; Pomacentridae. The record is from RefSeq and is a predicted model, not a curated record.
UCACAAACACCACAUCUGCCUGAACAGCUGCAGAUAAACCAGCAGUUCCUGGAAAAUCAACCAAAUCUGGCUAAAAGUUCCCCCAGAACCUCCUCAGAACAUCUGGUUCUUCAUCUCCAGUAACUUUAUCAAGGAUCAGAGUUCUACCUUCAUACUGGGAAUAUUUCCAGAGUUCCAGGUCCUUGAAGUCCAUAGAGGAGAACAUCUCCUGGAGAAACUUCUAGAGUAGACCUGUCUACUCUAGAACUUUCUCCAGCUGUCGGUAGGUCUACUCUAGAACUUUCUCCAGCUUUCGGUAGGUCUACUCUAGAGCUUUCUCCAGCUGUCUGUAGGUCUACUCUAGAGCUUUCUCCAGCUUUCGGUAGGUCUACUCUAGAACUUUCUCCAGCUGUCUGUAGGUCUGCUCUAGAACUUUCUCCAGCUGUCAGUAGGUCUACUCGAGAACUUUCUCCAGCUGUCAGUAGGUCUACUCUAGAACUUUCUCCAGCUUUCGGUAGGUCUGCUCUAGAACUUUCUCCAGCUGUCUGUAGGUCUGCUCUAGAACUUUCUCCAGCUGUCAGUAGGUCUACUCUAGAACUUUCUCCAGCUUUCGGUAGAUCUACUCUAGAACUUUCUCCAGCUGUCUGUAGGUCUACUCUAGAACUUUCUCCAGCUUUCGGUAGAUCUACUCUAGAACUUUCUCCAGCUGUCUGUAGCUCUGCUCUAGAAAUUUCUCCAGCUGUCAGUAGGUCUGCUCGAGAACUUUCUCCAGCUGUCUGUAGGUCUGCUCUAGAACUUUCUCCAGCUUUUGGUAGGUCUGCUCUAGAACUUUCUCCAGUUGUCGGUAGGUCUACUCUAGAACUUUCUCCAGGGGACGUUCUCCUUUCCUGCUUCCAGUCUUUCAGUUUAGUCUCACUUAGAACAUUCCAGGUCCUUGAAGUCCAUAGAGGUGGGUCCACAUUUAUCACUUUCUAAUGGCCUUUUUCCAUCAUUUUUGAGCCUCAGAACUUCAUCAGUCCAGCAGAUAGAACCAGGACAUUUAGGAGGAGAAGACAUAUGAGUUCUGGUAAAAACUGACACCAGAUCAGUUCAAAACCAUCCAGGUGUCUCAGUCUGAACCCUGGAUCUGAGUUCUGAUCAUUUCCUCUACAACCAGCUGUGAUCAUCAGUAUUAUGGGAUGUAUCCUGGUGUGAACAGUUUAGAGUCCUAGAGACAGUCAUUGGUUCUCUGGAUGUGUUUCUGUUUCUGAUAAUCCACCAGAUAAACUCUGAAAGGUCAUUGUGGGUAAACUUUAAUGUUGGUAGGUGGUUGGUCAGAACUGUUUAGGAUGAUGAAAAUGUAAAAUGUGAGAUUGUAUUUUGUGAAGGAAUAUCUCUGAUCACUCCUGCAGCAUCAUUUCUGCCCCGUAGAAAAGACCAGAGUUGAUUCUAACGUUCCACAUCAUCAGCGUUCACAAACAGGCCGACAGAUGGAACCAACAGAACAACUGACCUCUGUUUUCAUGGAACCACCUGCAUGUCUUCUAGGAGAAAAAAUAGAGCUUCUAGUUGUUGUUUCAAAAUUGCUCUUUGUUCCUUCAAC